UACGGAGGGUGCAAGCGUUAUCCGGAUUCACUGGGUUUAAAGGGUGCGUAGGCGGCGCGGUAAGUCGGGUGUGAAAUCUCGGAGCUUAACUCCGAAACUGCAUUCGAUACUGCCGUGCUUGAGGACUGGAGAGGAGACUGGAAUUUCCGGUGUAGCGGUGAAAUGCGUAGAUAUCGGAAGGAACAUCAGUGGCGAAAGCGGCUUCCUGGACCAGUACCGACGUUCAGGCACGAAAGCGUGGGGAGCAAACAGG
This 253-nucleotide ribosomal RNA is filed under the name uncultured bacterium. RNAcentral's name for it is "partial 16S ribosomal RNA". It matches the Rfam family "Bacterial small subunit ribosomal RNA", at positions 524 to 776 of the family's 1533-position model. The record is from RNAcentral.